This 517-nucleotide ribosomal RNA is filed under the name Simulium quinquestriatum. RNAcentral describes it as "partial 16S ribosomal RNA". It matches the Rfam family "Bacterial large subunit ribosomal RNA", at positions 1825 to 2601 of the family's 2925-position model. The record is from RNAcentral. Lineage: Eukaryota; Metazoa; Arthropoda; Insecta; Diptera; Simuliidae.
GUCUUUUUGGUUAUUUAAUAUAAAGUCUGACCUGCCCACUGAAUUUAUUUUGAAGGGCCGCAGUAUUUUGACUGUGCAAAGGUAGCAUAAUCAUUAGUCUUUUAAUUGAAGGCUGGUAUGAAUGGUUGGAUGAGGUACAAGCUGUGUCAUAAAAAUUAGUUUUUGAAUUUACCUUUUUAGUCAAAAGGCUAAAAUAGCAUUAAAAGACGAGAAGACCCUAUAGAGCUUUAUAUAAUUUUUAUUUAAAUUAUUAAGAUUUCUUAAAUUUAAUUAUUUCAUUAUAUUUUGUUGGGGUGACAAUAAAAUUUAUAAAACUUUUAUUUUUAUUUACCAUUAAUAUAUGUUUAUAUGAUCCAGUUUUAUUGAUUAUAAAUUUAAGUUACCUUAGGGAUAACAGCGUAAUUUUUUUUGAGAGUUCUUAUCGACAAAAAAGAUUGCGACCUCGAUGUUGGAUUAAGAGUAAUUUUGGGUGUAGAAGUUCAAAGUUUAAGUCUGUUCGACUUUUAAAUUCUUACAU